AAGACUAUACUUUCAGGGAUCAUUUCUAUAGUUUCAUUUCUAUAGUUUGUUACUAGAGAGUUUCUCCGAAUGUGUGGAGUACUCGAAACCACAAGGAGGAGACAGUGUCCCUUCCUGAGCGUGAAGCUUCUCCAGCUGCCCUUUGCCAUUGAUGAUCGUUUUUCUCCUCCUUUGGGGGAGUAAGAGGGAGGGACACCGGUUGAAUGGUU
This is a small nucleolar RNA of Zalophus californianus (California sea lion), 209 nucleotides long. Lineage: Eukaryota; Metazoa; Chordata; Mammalia; Carnivora; Otariidae. The record is from Ensembl.